This is a non-coding RNA of Peromyscus maniculatus bairdii (prairie deer mouse), 1575 nucleotides long. The record is from RefSeq and is a predicted model, not a curated record. NCBI's taxonomy places the organism in Eukaryota, Metazoa, Chordata, Mammalia, Rodentia, Cricetidae.
GUUUGGUUCCAGGUGCCAAGAACACAAGGUCCCUGAGUACACACACUCAUGUUCAGGCAAAGAGGAAAAUGAACAAGAGUCAAGAUAACUCCAGAACUGCAAGCGCUUAGGAAGACCCCAUAGGAGGUCUCGAUACCCCACGGACACUGCAGGAACCAACUUUGUCCUUCAUGAGCCUCUCCUAUUACCCCGGGAAUGAACACUGCACAUCAGGGCUUCCGGAGGAAGCAGCAUGCAAGUUUUUAACUGAAAAUUGAUCAGUGAUGUUUACGGUGUUGGGCUUCCCUCACCCACACAAGCAAAGCCAGAUCCCCAGCCCUGCAGUAUCAGAGACCAGGUUCCUGAGCAAAGCUGGCUUCUAGAAGGUUCUCUCCUUCCAGUCCAUCCCAUGAACUUCUUUUCCACCCAGGAAGUCAGGGCAUGGCUCUUCCUGAUUCUGUUGAAAUGUUUCAGAAACAAAGUCUUUCAGACCCCAGGCAAGGGUCUCACUGGCCCACAGAGAAUCCUCUCUGCUGUCCUCAAACCUUCCCAGCACAAGAUGGGGGCGGAGGGAAGCAACUUCAGAACCAUGGUCACGACCCCAACCGUGAACUUGGCCAUGAACCCAGGCUGAGCUGUGGGGGAUCAGAGCAUGCCACAGCUCUAUCAUCUCUGUUCCAAGCCUCUUCCCCACAGCCAGAACUUUUGGGUCCCCAUUCCCUGGAUCUACUCCUUACAGAAAAUGACAGACAGGAGGUGACCCACACCCUGAGUGUCACUUACCUGAAAUUCUCAGGAUCAGAAGUGUUUGGGAUUUUAGAAUUUUUCAGUUUUGGGAAUAUUUGUGCAGACAGAGUGAGCUCUCUUAGGGAUGGGUCCCAAGACUAAAACACAAAAGGUAUCAUUGUCCCAUAUAACCUCACGCAGGAAGCUGUUUUAUGUAAUAUUUAAUUCAUGAUUUUAUGCAUUAAGUUUCAUGAUAUGACAGGUUUUGGAUUUUAGACCACUUGGAAUUUCGGAUUGAAAGUAACUAGGAAAAAAAGGAAAACAAAUAAAAAGGAAAUAUGACUAGCUGGUAUCUCGACCAUACCAAAAGGCUUGCUGCUGGCCUCUCAGAUUUGUUUCCAGGUAGGGGAAACUGUAUUAUUCCCAGCCCACAAAAAAAUAAAUCAGAAGUGUGGGGUGGACUGAUAAGGCUGCUCAUCACACUGUAGCCAGUAGCAAGGAGGGGCUGGAGGCAGGCUGGUGUCUCCCUUGCUGCAAGUAUCUGCAUCAGACCCUCCUCCACACUAGGGAGCUGACAGGGGAGAAAGCCAGAUGUGUUGUGAACAGACUUUGAAAAGCCAAACACGGGUAAAGAAGAUGGGGGAGCCAGGCGGCUCUUCUGAUCAUCCGCCAACCCCGGGAACCACCAGAGUCAAACGCUGCCUUUUGACGGUUUUUGUUGCUUGUUCCUUUGUUUUCAUCAUGGGGCUGUGAAUAUCACCCAGGACCUUUCCUGUGAUGGGCGAGCACUCGUCCACCCAGCUACAUCCCCGGCCCUCUUCCUCUUGAAUCACAUCUUUAGUCUUUAGUUUAUUUCUCCCUCCCAGCCGC